Oncorhynchus keta (chum salmon) is the source of this 3821-nucleotide long non-coding RNA. RefSeq lists it as uncharacterized. Lineage: Eukaryota; Metazoa; Chordata; Actinopteri; Salmoniformes; Salmonidae. The record is from RefSeq and is a predicted model, not a curated record. The transcript has 2 exons.
CUAUAGAAAUGUAAUGCUAAUGAUAAACCAGGUAGGAACCUGAUGACUAUAGAAAUGUAAUGCUAAUGAUAAACCAGGUAGGAACCUGAUGACUAUAGAAAUGUAUUGCUAAUGAUAAACCAGGUAGGAACCUGAUGACUAUAGAAAUGUAAUACUAAUGAUAAACCAGGUAGGAUGAUGAUGACUAUAGAAAUGUAAUGCUAAUGAUAAACCAGGUAGGAACCUGACCACCUGAUGACUAUAGAAAUGUAAUACUAAUGAUAAACCAGGUAGGAACCUGAUGACUAUAGAAAUGUAAUACUAAUGAUAAACCAGGUAGGAACCUGACCACCUGAUGACUAUAGAAAUGUAAUACUAAUGAUAAACCAGGUAGGAACCUGAUGACUAUAGAAAUGUAAUACUAAUGAUAAACCAGGUAGGAACCUGAUGACUAUAGAAAUGUAAUGCUAAUGAUAAACCAGGUAGGAACCUGAUGACUAUAGAAAUGUAAUACUAAUGAUAAACCAGGUAGGAACCUGAUGACUAUAGAAAUGUAAUACUAAUGAUAAACCAGGUAGGAACCUGAUGACUAUAGAAAUGUAAUGCUAAUGAUAAACCAGGUAGGAACCUGACCACCUGAUGACUAUAGAAAUGUAAUACUAAUGAUAAACCAGGUAGGAACCUGACCACCUGAUGACUAUAGAAAUGUAAUACUAAUGAUAAACCAGGUAGGAACCUGAUGACUAUAGAAAUGUAAUACUAAUGAUAAACCAGGUAGGAACCUGAUGACUAUAGAAAUGUAAUGCUAAUGAUAAACCAGGUAGGAACCUGAUGACUAUAGAAAUGUAAUACUAAUGAUAAACCAGGUAGGAACCUGAUGACUAUAGAAAUGUAAUACUAAUGAUAAACCAGGUAGGAACCUGAUGACUAUAGAAAUGUAAUGCUAAUGAUAAACCAGGUAGGAACCUGAUGACUAUAGAAAUGUAAUACUAAUGAUAAACCAGGUAGGAACCUGACCACCUGAUGACUAUAGAAAUGUAAUACUAAUGAUAAACCAGGUAGGAACCUGAUGACUAUAGAAAUGUAAUGCUAAUGAUAAACCAGGUAGGAACCUGAUGACUAUAGAAAUGUAAUACUAAUGAUAAACCAGGUAGGAACCUGAUGACUAUAGAAAUGUAAUGCUAAUGAUAAACCAGGUAGGAACCUGAUGACUAUAGAAAUGUAAUGCUAAUGAUAAACCAGGUAGGAACCUGAUGACUAUAGAAAUGUAAUGCUAAUGAUAAACCAGGUAGGAACCUGACCACCUGAUGACUAUAGAAAUGUAAUGCUAAUGAUAAACCAGGUAGGAACCUGACCACCUGAUGACUAUAGAAAUGUAAUACUAAUGAUAAACCAGGUAGGAACCUGACCACCUGAUGACUAUAGAAAUGUAAUACUAAUGAUAAACCAGGUAGGAACCUGAUGACUAUAGAAAUGUAAUACUAAUGAUAAACCAGGUAGGAACCUGACCACCUGAUGACUAUAGAAAUGUAAUACUAAUGAUAAACCAGGUAGGAACCUGAUGACUAUAGAAAUGUAAUACUAAUGAUAAACCAGGUAGGAACCUGAUGACUAUAGAAAUGUAAUGCUAAUGAUAAACCAGGUAGGAACCUGAUGACUAUAGAAAUGUAAUACUAAUGAUAAACCAGGUAGGAACCUGAUGACUAUAGAAAUGUAAUGCUAAUGAUAAACCAGGUAGGAACCUGACCACCUGAUGACUAUAGAAAUGUAAUACUAAGGAUAAACCAGGUAGGAACCUGAUGACUAUAGAAAUGUAAUACUAAUGAUAAACCAGGUAGGAACCUGACCACCUGAUGACUAUAGAAAUGUAAUGCUAAUGAUAAACCAGGUAGGAACCUGAUGACUAUAGAAAUGUAAUACUAAUGAUAAACCAGGUAGGAACCUGAUGACUAUAGAAAUGUAAUACUAAUGAUAAACCAGGUAGGAACCUGAUGACUAUAGAAAUGUAAUACUAAUGAUAAACCAGGUAGGAACCUGAUGACUAUAGAAAUGUAAUGCUAAUGAUAAACCAGGUAGGAACCUGAUGACUAUAGAAAUGUAAUACUAAUGAUAAACCAGGUAGGAACCUGACCACCUGAUGACUAUAGAAAUGUAAUACUAAUGAUAAACCAGGUAGGAACCUGAUGACUAUAGAAAUGUAAUACUAAUGAUAAACCAGGUAGGAACCUGACCACCUGAUGACUAUAGAAAUGUAAUACUAAUGAUAAACCAGGUAGGAACCUGAUGACUAUAGAAAUGUAAUACUAAUGAUAAACCAGGUAGGAACCUGAUGACUAUAGAAAUGUAAUACUAAUGAUAAACCAGGUAGGAACCUGAUGACUAUAGAAAUGUAAUACUAAUGAUAAACCAGGUAGGAACCUGAUGACUAUAGAAAUGUAAUACUAAUGAUAAACCAGGUAGGAACCUGAUGACUAUAGAAAUGUAAUGCUAAUGAUAAACCAGGUAGGAACCUGACCACCUGAUGACUAUAGAAAUGUAAUACUAAUGAUAAACCAGGUAGGAACCUGAUGACUAUAGAAAUGUAAUACUAAUGAUAAACCAGGUAGGAACCUGAUGACUAUAGAAAUGUAAUGCUAAUGAUAAACCAGGUAGGAACCUGACCACCUGAUGACUAUAGAAAUGUAAUACUAAUGAUAAACCAGGUAGGAACCUGAUGACUAUAGAAAUGUAAUACUAAUGAUAAACCAGGUAGGAACCUGAUGACUAUAGAAAUGUAAUACUAAUGAUAAACCAGGUAGGAACCUGAUGACUAUAGAAAUGUAAUACUAAUGAUAAACCAGGUAGGAACCUGAUGACUAUAGAAAUGUAAUACUAAUGAUAAACCAGGUAGGAACCUGACCACCUGAUGACUAUAGAAAUGUAAUACUAAUGAUAAACCAGGUAGGAACCUGAUGACUAUAGAAAUGUAAUACUAAUGAUAAACCAGGUAGGAACCUGACCACCUGAUGACUAUAGAAAUGUGAUACUAAUGAUAAACCAGGUAGGAACCUGAUGACUAUAGAAAUGUAAUACUAAUGAUAAACCAGGUAGGAACCUGACCACCUGAUGACUAUAGAAAUGUAAUACUAAUGAUAAACCAGGUAGGAACCUGACCACCUGAUGACUAUAGAAAUGUAAUACUAAUGAUAAACCAGGUAGGAACCUGAUGACUAUAGAAAUGUAAUACUAAUGGAACCUACAAGCACUGAUUUUUGCGCAUAGCGGCUAUUUUGAAGAAGGCUUUUACUUGCAAUGAGAGGAAUGUGGUUGUUUUUAUAUACAUUACUUAAAUGCACUGGUUAUAAGUCGCUCUUGAUUAAGUGCUAAUUAACUCUUAAUUAAUACUUUUUUUCUACACGUACCCAGUUCUCUGACAAUCUCUCAUCCCUCAGUUUUUUUAUUUUUUAUUUUUUACCUUUAUUUAACCAGGCAAGUCAGUUAAGAACAUAUUCUUAUUUUCAAUGACGGCCUGGGAACAGUGGGUUAACUGCCUGUUCAGGGGCAGAACGACAGAUUUGUACCUUGUCAGCUCGUUGAACCCUUCUUCAUCAUAAAUGCAUCUAACCCACUGUGUUAACCCACUGUCAAUUCAAGUUAAGGGCUUUAUUGGCAUGGGAAACUUAUGUUUACAUUGCCACAGCAAGUGAAAUAGAUAAACUAUAAAACAUUAACAGUAAACAUUACACUCACACAAGAUCCAAAAGAAUAGAGACAUUACAAAUGUCAUAUUUAUACAUAGUGUUGUAACGAUGUGCAAAUAGUUAAAGUACAAAAGGGAAAAUAAAUAUGGGUUGUAUUUACAA